This 465-nucleotide ribosomal RNA is filed under the name uncultured bacterium. RNAcentral's name for it is "bacterial SSU rRNA". It matches the Rfam family "Bacterial small subunit ribosomal RNA", at positions 198 to 644 of the family's 1533-position model. The record is from RNAcentral.
GGAGGAAAGUAGGGGAUCGCAAGACCUUGCGCUUUUUGAGCGGCCGAUGCCUGAUUAGCUAGUUGGUAAGGUAAUGGCUUACCAAGGCAACGAUCAGUAGCUGGUCUGAGAGGACGACCAGCCACACUGGGACUGAGACACGGCCCAGACUCCUACGGGAGGCAGCAGUGGGGAAUUUUGGACAAUGGGCGAAAGCCUGAUCCAGCCAUGCCGCGUGAGUGAAGAAGGCCUUCGGGUUGUAAAGCUCUUUCGGUCGGGAAGAAAUAGUUGUGGCUAAUAUCCACAAUGAAUGACGGUACCGACAUAAGAAGCACCGGCUAACUACGUGCCAGCAGCCGCGGUAAUAUGCAGGGUGCAAGCGUUAAUCGGAAUUAUUGGGCGUAAAGGGUGCGCAGGCGGUUGUAUAAGUCAGAUGUGAAAUCCCUGGGCUUAACCUAGGAAUUGCGUUUGAAACUACAAAGCUAG